This 41380-nucleotide long non-coding RNA is filed under the name Setaria viridis. RNAcentral describes it as "long non-coding RNA (SVIR_LNC005186)". The record is from RNAcentral. Lineage: Eukaryota; Viridiplantae; Streptophyta; Magnoliopsida; Poales; Poaceae.
CGCCGUCUGAUAUAACAUACCAAAGGGGAAGGGGUGGUGGGGGUUCGUUUGGCUUGGCGUCGUCGUCGCGCGCGCUCCGGUGACGGCGGCGGGCCGGCAUGGCCGUGGAGGAAGUCCUCGGUUGGUCGCUGUGCAACUUGACGCCUCAUCAUCUCGGCUCGGCCAAAGGGAGAAUGAAGAUACAAUACAAUACAGGAAGAGCGGCCUCCGGUCGCCGUGGUGUGCGUGUGUGUGUGGGCUGGAUGCCCUGUUCUCAGCUAGCGCUCUCCUAUCCUAUCAGAUUCAGAGCAGGGUUUUGCUGAUGUUCUACGUUUUGUUACUCGCUAUCACCAGAAAUAAAAAAGUUCCUUGCAGUUUGUUCUAAUUCCUACCAUCGUUGCAACAUUGGAUAUAGUGUCUAAGAACAGGAGAACCUGUAGAAAAUAGACAAGCACAGAAACUGUACUCGAAAUCGUCUGAAAUGCGAACUAGUGCAUUUUCCUUGCGAAAAUCCCUACAAAAAAUCUUGUGGUAGGCGUGCGUGGCCGCACUAAAAGAAAAUGUGCCCCGGUCGGUGCAGAGAACCCGUCCCGUCCGCUCACUGUCUGACGUGUGGUGUGGUCCGGCCCUACGAGUAGGCCUCGUGCCUAUAGGAGCGUUCCAGCACUGCUUCCCCACUAGCACAGAGCCGUGCAAUUUUAUCACACAAGACUCGAGAAAUCCACGAGAUCGCGGAUUGGUAUUGCUUGAGCGCCCGGUGAUCCCCGUUGCACUCCAGCCGACCACCACCGACUCCUGCGGCGCCUAGAAUUUCCCGUGCUCCAGCGAUAGGGCGCGACCGGGGUGAAACUGAAACCAGUGGCAAUACCAUUGGGUCCCCACCGCGGGUGCCCGUGAACCUUAUCGUGGCGCAUGCCUCCCGCACCGACCGACGGCAUGGACGCCGUCGUCUCUGCUAGCCUUUCUUUCUUUCUUUCUUUUAUUUAACGCGGCGGUGAUCGACAGCGACCGGCGGCGCGGGAAGCUCCCGCAGGGCUUGCGGGUCUGUUCGCUUCAGCUUAUAAACCGGCUGAAAAGCUGAAAUGGCUGAUUUGUUGUGAGAAAAAAACACUGUUUGGUAGCUGAUAGGCCGGAUGAACAAGCUGAAGCGAACACGCCGUGCAUAGUUGCAUCCGGCUGGCUCCGUUCUCGGAUCAACUUGGGCUGAGGGCAAUUGACAGUGAACGGGCCUGGCCAUUGAAUAUUUGAAUUGAGCACCAGUGGUAGCUCAAAUUUACCACGCGCAGGUCGGCACACGGAAGGAUCAGGAAGGUAAGGCGACCUGGACCAGUCAUCAGUUCAUCACAUGACGCGCUGCCAAGAUACCCUCCAGGCUCCAGCAAAAGAAAAGCUGUUGGGAAUGGGCCGCCCUGCGUGGGAUCAAUCCCCGAGAAGAUCAGAUAUUAUAACGUGGCACUAAAAAAGAAUAAAGUAGCCGCCGGGAUUGUCUCACAAAAGAAUAAAGUAGCCGUCGAGAUUGGUCUCAAAAAAUAUUAAAGUUUCGGCGUGUUCAGAUCCGACAACCUAUCGAGGCUACCCGAGUUAGGGUUGAGUGCGCGAGACUUGUCAAGAUUAGGAAUUUGAAGGUAAACACAGACAUACGAUUUAGACAAGUUUGGAUCGUUAGAUUGCGUAAUACCCUACUUCUUGUGUGUCGGUUGGAUUGAAUUGCCUUGAAGAGGAUCCCUGCCUCGCCUUAUAUUAUCGGGAGCAGGGUUACAGGUUGGUUGAUUUAUAAGAAUACUAGUCGAAUUCGAUUAGAUAAGGCAUACUCUAAUUAUUACGAGUAGUUUUUCGAAUUCUCGACUAGUUCCUAUCUUACCACGUAAAUCAUACCAUCCUGCAUCAUAGUCUUCACAUCUUGUACCAGUCCUGUACCUAGAACUCUCCAAAUCUCCUGAUGAACUCGUAGAUGUAUAUACGACGGCCGCCGAGGUUCGAAUGCGAACGGUGCAGGUCAUCUGGCUAGUUGGUGUGCAAAUUUUAUUUGAAAUGCUGUAGUCCACCGACGAACAAAUACUUCAGCCCAUUUUUAAGUCAUCUCUUGCUAUUUUAUCCUUCCCGAGAUACCCAUUGCCGACAGCAUCAAUUAGUUGCUAUUUUAUCCUUCCCGAGAUACCCAAUACUGACAGCAUCAAUUAGCGUCCAUAUAGCUUUCAGUAAAAGAGAAGGCUUCUGGGCAAUAAUGAACACAGCUGAAAGGGAGUGUCAAUUUUCUUCAACACAUGCGUAGUGCGAUUUUCUUACUACGCCAUAACCUUUAGUACUGUCUUAAGCCCGCUCAAUAUGUGCAAACAGAUUAUCAUCUGGACCACAGAAAUCUGAAGGAAUGCAAACAUACACAGCCCAUACAGAUACAGAUCACCACACAUGGGCCACAAACUACCCAUUAACACCCACAGUAAGAACCACAAGCAUUGGGCGUGAGCAAGAGCUGCUUCCAAAGCAAAUCUCAAACAGAUCGGAGGGUUCGUCCAAUUUUUUGGGCAAUCAUAUUGCAAUAAGACAACGUCCUCACGACACCUAGAUAUAUCAGACGCAAAACAGAUACACAAUCUGAUCUCACACUGCUGGAACACGGAGGACAAUCCGUCGCUGAUACAUCAACAUGCAGACUCAUAAGAUUAUCGCCUUACCGGCUUCCAGCUUGGCUGCAGACGACUCAGAGAAAAGGGGGACAUACAGGAGAGUAACCGGAUGUAGGCAUGCAAGGGUGAUCGCAUUGGCUGUGCCAAUCACCCAGACUUGAAUAGCAAGACGGCUUUGGAAUCGAUGUAGAAGUAUACAAAGUAGUUUGUCUCAUGCGUUACAUACGAACCUGCAAUAGACGAAAAAUGGUUAGCAAAAGCGUGGGCGUUCAAUAUACAUAUCAUGGACUCAUAAAUGGAAGAGGUUAAUAAGUUCUCACUAUUUUCAGCUUAACUUUUCCAUUCCCAAGCUAUGCAUAUGCCACUAAAGUUCAGCGGUCAACAUAACCACAUACUCCACAACCAAAAGGAGUAACUGGAUGUUUUUAAUGUAGAUUAACAAAUCCAACCAAUUUAUAAUGGAGAAACUCUAGCAGGACUUGGCAUAUGUUCUGUCUCACUGCUAGAAUAACUAUCCCAUGUUACAGAAAUGGUAUUUAGACAUAGUAAACAAGAUGCCGGAUAAAUAUCAAACAAAGGCAGAAGAGGCUAACGCUCUUCUAACUUGCUAAUUGAUCAUUUCUCGAGCUAUGAGAAGUAAUUUAAGAUAAAAUUUCUCCCAUAAUCCUAUCAUAAUAGAGUAAAACAGAAACAUGUAGAAAUUAAGACAGCUCUUCAUUGAGUUUUAUAAUUAGUUUGUGAAGUAGAAUCAGUCAAAAAUAUCUGGAAACUACGACAGCUCAUCACUCAGUCUUAGAAUUAGAGAAACAAUUUAAGAAAAGAUUUCUCCCAUAGUCCUAUCCUAAUAGAGUCAAACAGAAACAUGUAGAAAUUAAGACAGCUCUUCACUGAGUUCCUAUCCUAAUAGAGUCAAACAGAAACAUGUAGAAAUUAAGACAGCUCUUCACUGAGUUUUAUAAUUAGUUUGUGAAGUGGAAUCAGUCAAAAUAUCUGGAAACUACAACAGCUCAUCAUUCAGUCUUAGAGUUAGGUUGAGAUACAAUCAGUGCAAUCAAAUAGAAACAUCUGGGAACUAAGACAGGUCGCCGAAGUGUCUUAGGAUUAGUUUGUGUGACAGAAUCAGUCAGUUGUGAGUGUGUCAUUCUCUCUAACGUUUGUCCUUCUCUUCUUAUUAGUAAAAAGAAAGCUGAAGUGCUGCCCAAGUUUGGAACAACAAAGGGUGACCAAAUUUAAAGGAAAAAAAUAAAAAAGGACUGGAAUUCAGAGACAGCAACAACCAGCCUCUUGUUUCUAUGCCAUCGAUAGAGAAAAACCUUUUUAAUUUUGCUAAUACUUUCAGUGCUAAAAUGUGUGCUCAAUCAAAAGGGACAUUCAGCCAUUGGUCAAAUCUUUCUAGCCUUGUCAGAGUGGCAGAAUUCGUAAGAAUUUGGUGACUUGUUGCAGUACACCAAUUAUCAGAAGCACACUCCAAAAUUUAUUAACAGAUAUUGGCCCAGAACGAAAAAACCAAUAAAAAAUGUGCAGAUUUGAGUUAUGGCUAUUUUAUGAUAAUUGACAAUGCCUGAAAGAAAACCAAAAUAGUGUAUGUCUGACUUGCUUGUAGAGAAUGCAAAGGAAGGAGAGAAAGAAAGCAAUGAUAUGCUUUAUUUGUUAUGCACGAUAUAGAAGUUGCAGUGAUAAGACCUAGCUACUAGGCAUGCUGGAAAAUUUCCAAUAACAAUAUAAUUUGGCAUCUUGAUCGAGAAGAAGCUAGAAUGGGAGAUAAAUCAGGAAAUUAUAAAUGAUCCAAUGCUACACGUAAAGCUAUAUAGCAUGUAGAAGAAUAUGAACACAGUCGAGAAAUUGCUAUAAGAAAAUAUGACCUGAAGUAUAAGAUUAAACAUUUUGUAGAGGAGAGUCGAAAAACGAACAGCUAAAACUUAUGUUUGAUAAGAACAUAGCCACAUAAUUGCAAUAAAAAAACAGAACAAAUGCAGAGUUAAACAGUUGCUGCAAAACACAAAAGCUGUUCAAUCUGGUACUGAAAAUUGUUAGCUUAGAUCCAAUAUCACAAAUUGGUUAGGCCAAUUGCAUUAGAGGUCUCUAAACUUCCUUUAUUGCACUGCUAAUUGCAGGAGUGUUUGUCAAGUGAAUAAGUAAUGUGCCAUGCCAGUUGACACGGAAUAUAAGUGACAUGACAGUAUGACAGUCAGCAUGCCCAGUCAGUUGCAAGUCUACAUAAAAUGCCAUGCCAUUUCUUUGUUACAUCUGAUUAACAGAGUACAGUGACACUAAGUUAAGGAACUGAAAAAUAAAGCAUGUGCUACUAAUUUAUUGAAACAAAAAAUUUAGUUUUAGAUAAGAAAGAGUUGAACAAAAAAUUGAAUAAGUCAAUUAAAAAUGUGUAAAAUUGAAUGAUACUCCCUCCGUUUCAAAAUGUAGGUCAUUUUUGCUUUUCUACAUAUAUAGAUUUUGCUAUGUAUCUAGACAUAACACUAUAUUUAGGUGCAUAACAAAAUCUAUGUAUCUAGAAAAGCCAAAACGACUUACAUUUUGGAACGGAGGGAGUAGCUCGCUAAGUUGGAUUUGGUUGAUAUCAGGAAUAGCCUACCCUGUUGGCUGAGCAAAGCUUAGAGAAUGCUUACAUAAAGUUUUUAGAAUUUAAGCCAAGCCAGAAGCAAGGAGGUAAACUUCAAAUUCGAGAAAUAAGACAUUGUCAUACUUGCACUAUACACACUCCCGGAAACAAUACUUCACCCACUCCAUUACAGGUGCUACAUUCAAUAAAAAAAGAUACAGGUCAUUCAACAUUCCCUUGUCAAAUUUGAAGCAUAAUUUCAGUUGACUGCAAUAACCGUUUCAGCUUCUUCAGUUUUCCUAGUUCAUUUCCUCCUGUGUACAACUUAUUUGUGGGGGUGAGGGUGGGGAAUGAGUUUCCUGUGGCUUCUAUUGACAGCAUAAGCAGUCCUACAAGGUCCAUUCAAUCAAUCACGUGCGGACCUUUAUUGGGCCAGGCACGGACGAAAUCGACCAUGGAAUAACCAACGACGCAAAGCAUACCAGACCAGAUAUCAACAACUGUCCUCAGGACAGGCGCAAUCAUCCCACAUGUUCCGCGCUAAUUAAGGAGUCCUCCCGGACAAGAGGAGAGCAUUACCGAAGUUGCGGCCGACGAUGCAGUGCCAGGUUGGGCCGUGGUUCUUGUCGAACUCCUUCUUGAUGUACUCCGCGAUGUCCUUCUCCAUGGUGUGCUUCUCGAACGCCUGACCGAAAGAGCGAGAGGUUGAAAAAAAAAUCCCCCGAACCCCAACGAACAACUAGUAAUAUGAAAACCAAAUCGAGAGCAGGAAAGAAAGCAAUAGUGAGAGCAGAGGCACGAGGUUCGUACGAUGCGGGCGAUUUCGAAGGCCUCCUGCCGCAUCUCCUCCUUCAUAUCGGCGCUCUUGAGCUGGAUCUUGUGCCCCGCCGCGGCCGGCGGCGGGGACCCCGCGCCCACCGGCUUGCGGUCCUCGGAGGAGGCCCGGAGCGCCGCCUGCGCGGCGCCCCCGGCCCCGCGCCUGGCCUCGUCGGACAUUCUCGAGGGCGGGUGGAGCAGAGCUGCCGGGCACGCUUCUCCUCCCUCUCGAGGAAUCCUCUCCUCGCUUUUUUGGCGAUGGUGGGCGUCUGGGCGAGGACGAGAAGCAGACACCGUGGGCGUGCGCGUGCGCGUUGCAGUGGAAUCUGCCUAGCAGCCGGCGGCCAGAGAGAAGAGAGAAGGUGAAAGUGUUGAAACUGGGAACUUUGGGCUGAGCCAUGGGCCUCCAUAUACAGAACCGGCCCGAAAUAAAGAGUCCAUGAGGUUGGUCCAGUUCCGUUUGCAAUGUGAGUAUUUUGCGAAACCGUUGCAGAAAUUUUAAGUGGAGCAGUUCAGCCCUCGUAGAGUCGAGAGUAAGACAAGAACAGUCAUGAGUUCCAAAUAUGCCUUCUUUAUAAAAAAAAAUUUGUCGUUAACAGUGCGCGUGUGUGUCUCCAGCAACUUCUAAUGUGACCCAAAUGGCCAAAUGUUACGGAGCCCUACGUGUUCUGGAGUUUCAAAGAGACGUAUGAAGACCACGAUGCAAAAAUGAUGUCUGCCUUUUCUCUGUCCGGUCAUCCAGGGUGUCACCUGGAGUUUUCAAGGUGUAUUUGGUUGCAUGCACCACAUGAUAUAUGCAUAGAUGAUUCUACAUGAGUGGUUCAACCAAUUUGCUUGUACCAUAUGGUUCAUUCUAAUUAGUAGAAUAAUGUAACACAGUGUUUUACCAUACAUUUGCAUAUCAACAGUCUCGCAAACCUGCAAACCUUCAAGGGUAUUAUAGUCAUUUCUUACCAAAAUUACAGUAUCACAGCUGUUUCAAUCAAACGGCUUUCAGCUUUUUCACACCUCAUAGCAUCUUUUCCAUAACCCGCAGCUCACAUCAACUUUUUCACAGCUCACAGUUCAACAAAAUAGACCAUAUAUAAGUAUGUUCGUGUGCUUUCAAAUUGCACGGGCAUCCUAAACUUACCCUCAGCUGCAAUUUAGGUCCAUGUGUUUGCAAAUGCUGAUCUAAGUAACUGAAUUUAGCUUAAUUGAUUAUUUUUUCUUAUGAUGGAACCUGCUUACCUGACUUCAAAUGCACUGAGUGCUCAUAUUUUUCUAAAUUUAUUUUAGGAAAUAAUAACUAUGUUUUUUAAUGGUUAGCGAUGUACCCGUCAAUAACGAGGUCCUUAUGUUUCGUCAAUCUCAAAAUCUGUUAGUUCAAUCUCUCUGAGAUAUGGUCAUAGGGAUAGGACGUGUGUGUUUGUAUGGAAAAGUUGACUUCACUUUUUUUUUGCUAGUUUUUUUCCAUGCAACACCUUCACAUCUAGAGACCUCCCAUAAAAGUACAUAUAUAGAAGCCUACAUACAUGCAUGCACAAUUACACAAUAUACACCUUUAGAGGAUCCGCUGAGGCUACUAGGGUCCCGUUUGGCAGAACUCUCAAAACUGAUUCUCCACUAAAUCCAGUAGGAACUCUGCCAAACAGUUUUUUAGAGAGAAGUAAUUCUCUAAUGAUUCUGUGAAGUAAUCCUCUGAAAUGAACUAAGAGGCUGGGAGCUGAAAAAAGUAGUUUCUCCUGAUUUUGUGAAGUAAUUCUCCAUUCUAAUUUUAAGAGUUUAUGCUAGAGAAUUAAAUAGAAUCGUUUUCAACACUUUUCUCAGAGAAUCAGAUGGAGUUCUAACCAAUAUUACGUGCGAAUGGUGGGGACGUUGUUUUUUAUGGAGGGGGUCAUGUUGGAGACAAACUUUGCUCAAAAAAUUGUUUUAGUUCCCAAACUAUCGAAAGGGUCAAUUUAGUCCCUGAAUUGUUGUUUGUAGUUCAAUCUAGUCGUUAGUCUUACAUGGCAUGCCAUGUGAGCUGACCGGUAUGCCCACAUGCAAAAUGUCCAUAUUACCCGUCCUCUUUUUUCUCACCCUCUCGCUUCCAUGCGGAUCCCACCUCUCAGUUAAAAAAAAAAUGGUCCGGUCCUUCGAUCCCUUGUGGUGCAUGUGGCUCCCGGUCCCAUCCCGCCGGCCGGCCAAGCAGGUGGAGCGCAUGAAUUGGCCUGUUCGCUUCAGCUUAUCAGCCGGCUUAUCAGCCACCGAACAAUGUUUUUCUCUCAUAACAAAUCAUCUGUUUCAGCUUUUCAGCCGGCUUAUAAGUCCAGCCGAACAGACCAAUACAGCUCGGCAGGGAAGACCGGCUAGACGAAGAUGCAUCGGCAAAGGAUGUCAUUGGUCUUACGUCUUGCCUUGGCCUUAUAUUUUUGCAUGUGCGAUGCGUAAUUUCUUCAAUUUCUUCAUGAGGCUCGGCGACACAUCCACAUCUCAACCAUUUAUUUGGUUUAUUUUUAUUUUUCCCUCAACCAUUUCAACCCUGACAGGUGGGACCUGCUUGGAAGCGAGAGGAUGAGGAAAAAAGAUGAAGGGUAAUUUGGACAUUUUGCAAGAGGACGUAGCAGUCAGAUGACGUGGCAUGGUAACUUGGUCCCACAUAAGACCGCAGACUAGAUUGAACUAUAAACAACAGUUCAGGGACUAAAUUGGUACUUUUGAUAGUUUGGGGACGAAACCGAUCCUUUGAGCAAAGUUGGGGAACCAAUACAGACUAUUUUUCCAAUUGCUAACGGACGAGUAAAGUGCAUGGCAGCGUUAAGUGUCCGUGUACUUUCAAAUUGCACUGUCCUCCUAAACUUACCAUGGGAUGCGAUUCAAAUCCAUGUACUCCCAAAUGCUGAUCUAGCGUACAGAAUUUAUCUCAAUUGGUUAUUUUUCUUCUGAUGGAACUUGCCUAACCUGCCUAUCCGACUUCAAGUGCUCGACUCGUCAACACAGCUACUCGUAUUUUCCAGAAUUUAUAUCAAGAAUCAAUGACUAUAUUUUUUAAUAGUUUGUGAUGUACCCGUCGAUACCGAGGUUAUUGUGGUGAUUUCGUCAAUCUCAAGAUCUGUGUCAAUCUCAAGAUCUGUUAGCCCAAUAUAUCUCAUAUGUACUCGUAGGGAAAGGAUGUGUGUGUUUGUAUGGAUAAGUUUUAAGGGUCUAUUUGGAUCCGUUAGCUAAACUUUAGCAGCUAAACUUUACUAAACUUGAGUUGCUAAACUUUAACCAUGACUGUUUGGAUCCAUGGGCUAAACAUCAUUUAAUGAGGUGUAGAAAGACCUGUCUGCCCUUAUUUAAUGCGAGGGGGGAGACAGAGAGAGGGUCCAGACAAGCAAUAAUGAGGGGCAAAAAGUGUCCAGCCCCAAGUUUAGCAAGGUUUAGCAACCAAAAAGUUGUUAAAGGACUAAAGUUUAGCAACCAUAGUUUAGCAAAAUUUAGCAAGGGUUUGUUGCUAAACUUUAGCUGCUAAAGUUUACCAAGGGGUAUCCAAACACCCCCUAAGUUGACAUCAUACUUUUGUUGCCAGAUUUUUUGAUGCAACACCUUAGAUUUCCUCCCUCAUAUAGAUGCCUAGAUACAUGCACGAAAUGCUUACCCAUAUAAAAAGGCACACUUAAAUACUAUGCACCUAGAGUACCAUAAAAAAAUACUGGACCCGCAGAUCAUGAGAAUGACGAAAUUACCACAGCCACCUCACUAUGAACGGGUACGCCGCUUACUACUAAAAGAAUAAUUAGCCAUAAAUGCAAGCAAUUGUCUUGAAGUUGGAGACUUGGAACUUGGAUGAGCAAGUUCAACCAAAAAAUCUAAUCAACCUAGAAUGUCGCUAUGGCAGAGAGUUUGCAGCAGCUUUUGAAAACUAUGGCUAAACAUGUUGAAAGAACACAACUCUAAUUAAUUCUAACUAGAAUGGGUCCUACUACCAAAGUAGUAUUUCUUGGAAAGAAUGGAAUUUUUCUACAUUCCCAACAUGAUUUUUUUCUCUCUCAAAAACACAGUUCCCAACAUGACCUACAAAGAACCUUUGAUCGAUUAGCACAUAAUAUUUCCUCGGCAGUUAUUCUAGGGAUCUAGCCAGAUUGCAUCUCUAUUCUCUAGUGGCCUAGAGGGCUUCUGAGCAUUUUGGUUGUGUAUUGGCAGCAGAUGGACAACACAUGAUGGAUGCACUCAUCGAAUUUUGGAUUAGUGAUCAAUCGGGCCAUCGGCUAAGUGCAUAUGCAGGCGAGGCCCCUUUGCAUAUGCAGGCCGGAGCUGUAUGCGCAAAAAAAAAAUUCAAUUGCAAAAACAAAAAAGGAAUAAAAGAGAUGAUGGCGGAUUUGCUGCCGUCGAUCUACUAGGUUUGCACACGAUCCAUGCUAUUGCUCUACCAUUGCCACCAUGCUGCGUUACUCGCUCUCCGGAUCAACCAGAGAAGGGAAAAAUUGAAGGGGGAAAGGUAGCAAUAGAAACACAUAAAAGAUUUGGAAAAAAAAAUCUUGCGACGAGGUUCCUGUUGUGCCACUCGUUGAGUGGAACCUGAAUCACCUCAUGACGGCGUGCUUCCAAGAGCCGCACUAUACACAGUCCGCCGAGAUCAGCACUAUACGCGGCCUGCUAGGAUCUGCACUAUAUGCAGUCCGCUAGGAUCCGUUAGCCUUGAUGAAAAACCGUGGAAGGGACUACCUCUUCCAUCGAGAAUCCACAUAAUCUGGGGCAGAGAGAGAGAGAGAGGGAGGGGGAGAGGGAUAGAAUUUGAGGGAGGAGGGAGAGAGAGAGUUUGCUCACCCUCCCCUUCAUGGUACCAGUUAAAGCAUAGUCUUAGCCACAUCGCAGCUCCCAAUCAGCAGCCCUCGAGCCGCACCAGAUCCCGCUAUGCCAGCAUAUGUGGAUCUCGCGGGUUCUGAGUUCCUAUCCCCCAUGGCGGCAUGCAUCUGCCUCACCUGUUGAUGGCGAGUCGGAGGUGGCCGCGGAGCAGGGGAGGUGUACUGAGAUCCGUUCGAGCCACCUCUGCGGUGUGUUGUGGAAGCCAACAGGGUAGAAAAGAGGGAGGAGGAAAAGGUAAAGGGAAUGAGAGGGAGCUCUUGUCGAUAGAAGAUAUAGGGGAAAAGGUUCUCUGAGUCAGGCACACUCACGUGAAAAAAGGGAAGAGGGGCAGCGGUGCAUGUCAACAACGUGUUGAUGACCUGUAGGGACUCCACAUACAGCGAAAUUAGAUCACCUAACCAGGGGCAAACAAGUUCAACUAUAUACCAUGGGAAGAAUGUAUGAUCCAUACAUAACUCCUAAGUCUCCAACUAGCAACUUAGUGGGAUGGUCAUUGAAGGCAACAAUCGCUCCAAAGUCUUUGAGAUUUCAUUCUAGCGGCCCCUGUCCCAUCCCUCUUUUUUCUGGUAAUUGAAAUAGUUAGGUAGUUUUUGGUUGUCAACUUUAAACCUUAGCAUAUAAGGAAAAUGGAAGAGUUGUAUAAUCGUAAACGAUUUAAGCAAUUACUUAUUUUGUUUGGUUUUGCCCAAUAAUGAAGUAUGGUGUUAAAAACAAAAAUUAAAGAAGAAGUAUAUAUGAUCAACGAGACGGUGACAAUGAUAAAGAUCUUUUGCCUGGCAUUUUGCCCUGGCAACAGCACCAUAAUGUUCCUGACAACCUGCAGGCUGUGGCGGUAAUGGGCGUUCAUUUGCAAGGUGUACACGAUCGUUGUGGAGACGAGGUCAGGGUGCAUCUAAUUUCAAGGACUUGUUCGACGUUGUUCUUCUGGAGUACUCUCUGUCACUAUUUGUUUUGACUUUUCUAAAUACAUAUUUAAAAAGAUCAAAACGAAUAGUAAUUCCAGGAAGUACGUAGGAAGCAAGCGGACACGAGGAUUAGAAUGGGCAGUGAGCCUCAUUACACUAGGUAGGCAGCAGUAUCUGUUUACCUAGUUUUUCCUUAUCUCCGUGGGAUUUGAUUGUGCCAGCGUCUAAACAAACACAGGUUGCCUCCAGAAAGGAAUUAUAUUAAAAAACAUGAACCAAAGAGAAUCUAAUAAGUUACACGCUCGUGAGACUUUGAUGCGAAUUUAUGCCAGUUAUAGGUCAUCUGUAAAGUUCCACUUAAAAAUCUUUUCCAUUGAUUUCUAAUUCUCUUUUUGUCAGGUGAAUUUGUUUUCAAUUUCAUGCUUAUUUUUUCAGUUACAUUCUAGAUUCUUGUGUUCAAGGUGGUCUGGUUCUGGUAACUCGCGGCCAGGAAGAAGAUGAGGUCCCUGGCCUCGACAAAUUGCAGAAUCAUGUCAUGGCGCUUACGAAUGACUAGUUACAAAUCUUAUUAUUAGUAAAAAAACAGAGUAUGUAUAAGAACCUGGUACACUAGUCUUGCAGCAUCACUUUGUGUUUGGAUUGAGGAUCGAAGUGGGUUGAGAUGGGUUUUACAAAACAGAGUAUGUACAAGAACCUGGUACACUAGUCUUGCAGCAUCACUCUGUGUUUGGAUUGAGGGUUGAAGUGGGUUGCCAACCCACUUUGCCCCAUGUUUGAUUGAAUUCCCAACCCAGAUGGGAAUAUUCCUACGAGAUCCGGGUCGAGCGCAUCCCAUUAAAUCGGAGGGACUGCAUGAACCCAGUCCGACGCCAUCUCCGUGCUUGCCUGCGCGCUGGGGAGGAGCUGGGAUGCCGGGUGGUGGCGGGCGCGGGGAGGUGGCGGGGGAGGUCGCCACCGUGGGGAGGCCGCCACCGCGGCGGAUGCAGGGGCCGGCGGCGGCAAGGGAGAGCAGGGGGUGCGUGGGAGGAGCCAGUAGAGGAGCCGUGCGGGGAGGAGGAAGAAGGUAGAAGAGGAAGGGAGGAAAAAAAGAGAGGCUGACUGGUGAGCCCCGCAACUGAUAGGUGGGGCCCACAACUAACGGUGUUAAAAGGACAUCCAUCCUAACCUUCUCAACCUCAUCAAGCAAACAAAAAAAUGGAUCAGCUCCAACCUACUCAUCCAAACAUGAGAUGAGAUGGCUCCAACUCAACUCACAUCGUCCCAAAAUCAAAAGCUACCUUAGUCUCUUCCUCUUCAAAUAACUGCUUCUCGUCACGGCCAGGCUCUCCGCCGCCGCUUCCACGGCGCAAUUCGUGACGUAGUUGUAGUAGGGCGGUAUAGGGGACCGCCAUGCUAGCACGCCCAUCUUGUCCUCGCCACGGGGCACGGCGCGGCCGUCGAGCACGUCCUGCAGCGUCACCUUGGGAAGCUCGGCGCUCUGCGCCGGACCGGGUCGCCACGUCCCCGUCUGCUUGCGCCAGUCGUAGUAGAAGCAGAGCGGCGCGUCCUCGGCGGCGCCGCAGAGGUAGGCGAGCCUGCUGCGGCCCGGCAGCCGGCUCGGGUGCUCGCCGAAGGCGGUGUAGUUGGCGCGCACGCCGCGCCUGACCACCUCCAGCACGCGGCGCCAGAACCGCGCGUCCAUGCUCGAGUGCAUCAGCCGGGAGAGGAUGUUGGCGGCCAUGAACGACCCCUUGAGCUCGUCCACGAGGUCCAUGGCGAUGGAAGCGAGCUCCGGGUGGUCGCCCGGGUCGGCGCUGCCGAAGGCGAGGACCUUGAAGAAGUGCCAGUAUUCUUCUUUGUGCAGGGUUGCCAGCCUCAGUGCCUGUCCCGUUCCUAGAGUUGAGACCUGCUCUGUUUGGCUGAUGACGAUGAUCUUGCUUGAUUUGUCGCUGUUGCUAACAGAGGAGUAGAACCUUCUCCAAGCUGAGGCAUCCGGCGCACCGGCAAACUCGACGAUGAUCAGUGAUCCCCCGCCGCUCGGGACGUGUUCCUGGUGCUCAGGAAUCAGAUCAUAUUCGCCGUCUCCAAGUUCGUCGCCGCAGAGAUGGGUGAUCAGAGGGAAUUGCUUCCGCACCCUGUCGUCGGCGCAGACGUGCUCCACGAGAGUCUUCUUCCCAACCUCCGGUGGGCCGGUGAUGGGGAGGACUCCGGGAAGCGAGCAAGGCCGCAGCAGGAACUCGAUAACCCUCUCCAUCUCGCCGUGCCGGCCAAACAUGCACCGGCCCAUGUGCAGAUACGUGCUGUACGGCUGGCGACCGACGCGCGGGUAGCCGCCGAGGAACACGACGAACUCCUUCAUGUCGCCGAGCACGGCCUCGAGGCUGUCAACGACGGCCUGGAGCUCGUUCAUGCUGUCUCCGCUUACCUCCACUGCUCCUUCACCGUUGUUGCCGUCGACGACCGCCGCCGCGUCGAAGUACGGCGAGGAGGAGGAGGAUCUGCGGCGCGCCGCGAGGACGCGCCUUCUUGUGCUGACGGCGGCGAGCCUCCGGGAGGCGUCGAGGACGUAGUGGCCCCGGUACAUGCCCUCCCUGAGACGGCCGAGCUGCAGGAGCAUACCGCGGUUGGUGAUGUGCCGCGUCUCGGCCUCCUCGACGACGGCGCGGGCACGCAGGAGGAGACGGUGCAGCCUCCCAAGUUUGCUGGCGGCGGCAUGCUUCUGGUACCUGGCGAUGAGGAAGGAGAGGCACCGGCCGAUGAGGUCGCUGACCACCGCAGAGGCCAAGGCGUCCAUUGCUGAAACUGAUCGAGGAGUUUCUUGCAGGCUGCUGGUUAGUGAUUACUGAACCGACGAGUGGAUUCCCGCCGGUUCGCGAGAAAAAGUUUGAUGCCAUGGAUGGAAUGUGGAGGUCCAAGUCAAGGGUCAACCCCUGAGACAGCACGGCGGUGACUGUCCCGGUUUGUGGUUCCCCUUCCAAGCAGGCGGCUGGUCGUCACUCGUCAAAGUUGCAUACAGCUGAUAAGCCGGUGAAGCAAUCAAUUUAUUGUGAAAUGUUAACAUAAAAAGGACCAGCCCAGAAUCUGUUUACUGUUCUUUUUUUAAAAAAAAGACAUCCUAAACAUCGAACUCGAAGUCUUUUUUUUUGUUUCAUCAAUGGUGUUUCCGAAGAAAUGGUUGAAUAAGAUUUAGUGAACUUUCAAACGUACGACGUCUAACAACCCCAUUUAAAAAAUCCGAUUCAGAGAACAAUGAACCCUAAAAACAAGAAUGGGGAUUGGGGUGUGCAUUUUUUUUUUUCAAGAUGAUUUGUUGUUGCAAAAGAUUUUGGGCUCAGAAUUGAAGAAGGCUGACAAUGUUCACCGGAAUGUAUGAUGUUGAGUAACACAACAAGGAUAUGCUGACCACAGGUAACAAAUAAGUGCCCAGGGUAGUUUAAAGAACCUUUUUACAAUCCUUGACUAGGAUCCCGAUCAACUAGAGAUUGUGAAAAAACGUCUUUAGCUUGUGAAUUGUUAAGAGUAAAUUUCUUUUAUGCCAUUAAGAAAAUUCCAAUCUCUUUGGUGCCAUCAGAAAUUUUGGAGAAGACACGGCAGUUUAGUCCUUAACAGAGCUCAGAGGUAUGGAACGUGACGUUCAUGGAAGGGAACAGAAAAUUUUUAACUGGUGGCAUAGAAGGAAACUCAAAAUUUGAUGGUACCAAAGGGAUUUGAAAUACUACUUCUAGAUUUCAACAGCCUAUAAUACCGUUAGUGGAGACGUGGGUAUGUGAAUGACAAAGGUGGCCAUUUCCAGUAAAAUCCAAUUGCCAAUUUGGUCUUUUUUUUCAAUGCACAAGAUGGCAAAAGCUAAUGAGAGGCAACUUAUGGGAUUGUUAAAAGAUGGUAAAAGUUGGCAUGCUUAGAUCAACCAGACCUUUUAAAACCAACAAUCCGCACUUUAGCCGAUCCAGACAGGGCCUAGAAGUGUAGCAUGAUUUUGGUAGAAGAGGUGCGUGAUGCUAGUUUCUCUCAAGUUAAAAUUAGUAGCUCUUUGCGAACUGAGUUAGUGAACUGCCCAUCCAAGUCUUCAACUCAACGUAGGUGCUUGUAUUUUUUUAUAUUUAUUUCAAGAAUUAACCAUGCUAUUCUUAAUUUUAGUGGUAAGUGGUAUGCCCGUUGACAACGAAAUGCUUAUGGUGACUUUGUUAAUCUCAAGAUUUGUUGCUCAGUUUCUCAACAAUGCUCGUCUAAGAGUAGGAUGUGUGUUUGUAUCGAUAUGGGUAAUUGUCGUAAACAUCUGCAUGGGUAUCGCUGUUUUGAAAAAAUGGGCUUGUUUUACCUUUCCAAGAAAGAAAAUAAAGCUCCUGCGUGCCAUUUUUGUUAGGAGACAUGAAGGCGAUAGACACCCUACUACUAUUAUUAUAUGUGUUAUUCAUGCGACUCUAACAUGAACUCACUACUCACACUUAUGAAAAUUAUCAAGAGACUGCUUGAACAGAUCAUGAGAAUAUCAAAGUUACCACAUCCACCUCAUUGUGAACGGUACACCACUUACUAUUACAAAAAUUAGCCAUAAAUGCAAGUACUCGCAUCGAGUCAAAGACUCGAACUUGGAUGAUCAUAUUCCACCAUUACAAAUCUCACCAACCAAGUGAUGACUAGAGAUUUUGCAACAGUUUUAUAAACUAUGACUAAACACAUAGAGAGAAACAACUCCAAUUAAUUCUAACUAGAAUGGACCCAUUACCAAAGUACUCCAACUAUUAAUGACAUUUGCACACAUUUCUAAGAGUAAUAAUAUUUUUCUCGGUGGCUAAUGUUAAUAAUAUUUUCCACUUGUUAAGAGUGCGGAAAUUGAUUGGGGGGUGGGUUGGGGGGGGGGGGGAGCACAACAUAUAGGUGGGGUAGCCCUCACCCAUCGGGCUAGUCUUUUGGGUUGAGUUAGGCCCAAGUCCUUGUUGUGGGCUCUGGUGGGGCGCCGUCUCGUGGGUAUAACAGGUCGGGUGGAUUCUGCUACGCACUCUAACAGUUAAUCUAGGGAUCUAGCCAUUUCUCAUCAUUAGUGGCCUUGAUGACUCCUGAUCAUAUGGUUGCGUGGCAAUUUGUAAGAGAUGGGACUAAAGGUUGCAAAUGAUGGAUGUAGUAGAGUUUUGGACUAAGAACCAAUGUUGGCUAAGUGCGUAUGUAGGCGGGGCCGCUUCAAAACCUGGAGCCUGGGGUGGUCGCCACAUUCACCAUCCCUAGGUCAAGGAGAUGGGCACACCAAAAUUUCAAUUGAAGAAAACAGAGGAUGGAGGGGGAGGAUGGGGCAGUGGGUAGAUCCGCCGGUGGUAAUGACCCACUGGACUCACACAUGCCCUAUGCCACUACUCUACCUUGGACACCACACCACAUCACUCACUUGUCAGGGCAACCGGAGGGGUAGGGGGGAAAGGAUGAAGACGAAAAAUAAUUGUAGAAACACACAAUAAAAUUUGGAAAAUAAUUAAAAGGAAAGAAAAAACUGGUGAUGAGCUUCAAUCCCUUGGUGCCACUCGUUGGGUGGAAACCAAGUCGCCUCACAGCGGUGAGAUCCCGAGAGCCACACUAUGUGCUCUCCAACCGGAUCUGUCCCCUUCACUAGGAAUCCACCGAGAGAUUGCACCCACCAGUUGAAGUGCCACCGCAUGCUUCACAUAUGCUCCAUCACACCACCUCUUGUUACUCAACUCCCAGCUAGCGAUGCACGGGGGGAGUUUCCUUGAGCCGCACCAGAUCCUGCUACGUCGGCAUGUGCAGAUCCCGCGAGCUUUGGGUUCUGGUCCCUCUCCAUGGUGACAUGUGCGUUCCAUGCCUAACGCAAACAAACAACACAGUGGAAAGACCAUUGGAGUGGAGGUAACAAUCACACUUUUAUUGAGACUAAACUUUGGUUCCAGUUGUCAUCCCACCCUUGUUUCCACUAUAUUUGAAAUUUUUUCUAUGCUUGUUAGUUUUUGAGGAGAAUUUAGACCAACAUUAAUUGUGUAUAUCUACGUUUGGAAUGUUGCUUAUGUUCCAUUUUUGGUCCCACAUACAAAUAAACUUUGGUUCCGGUUGUCAUCCCACCCUUAUUUCUGCUCUAUUUGAAAUUAGUUGUAUGCUUGUGAGUCUUUGAGGAUAAUUUUUUUUAUGUAACAGGAGGGGUGUGACCUCCAGAAAAAUAUUCGGUGCAAACGACCUUCUCGCGGUGGAAAUGUGAAAAUCCCUUAAAAAUCAUACUUUCAAGUAUUAAUUUUUUUUUGAAAUGAUGCACAUUCAUAGUGCAUCCAUAGACACACUUUGUGGCAAAAGAUGGGAUGCAAAACCAUUUUUGCAAAAAUUCAUACAAAAAUGACAAAUUUCAAGUGCAUAUGCACUAGAAGACCAAUUUCCAGGAAUUUCAUCUUUUAGUGUUUAUGCACAUGAAAUUUAUCAUUUUCAUUUGAAUUUUCCUAUUUUGAGUUUGCAUCGCAACUUUUGCCACAAAGUACAUCUAUGGAUUUUUUGAACACUUACAAAUAUGAUUUUUGAAGGGGUUUUCACGUUUCCACCGAGAUGGUGGUUUGCACCGAAUAUUUUUGUGUGACCCCCUAUUAGUUAUAUAUUAAAACAAUAAAUAAAGUAUUUUACAGGGAACAAAAAGAUCAAAGAAAGAGAAAGAGAAAAGAGAAAAUUACAGCAGAUUUUGUAUCCAUUCCUUGUGUGCAUAUAUCCACGGCUGGAAUGUUGCUUAUGUCCCAUUUUUUUCUCCUUCGAGAUCAUUUUCAAUUCAAAGAUUGAAGCCGAUGAUUUUAGUUUUUUCAGUUUACCUAGCAUCCCAGUUUCUUUUCAUGGGCUAGUCAGCAUCCUCAUGAUCUUUAGUUUUUUCAGUUUACCUACCAUCCUGAAGAUCUAGCUGCCAGGUAUUCAGAAACCUGACAGCCUCCGCACAAUUGCAAGUAACCCGAUCCUUUGUACCAGGUGCAACCACUAACCACGCACUAGCAGUCAACGUGAUACAGAUCCAAUCUUGGGUUAAGCCAUUAAGAUCAAAUCAGUGAAGGAUGGUCUGACCUUCCCCCCUGGUCAAUCGAAUGGGAUAACUUUUUUCGACUUACGAGAUGCAAAUCAAACAUAAAAAUGAGCACAAAGUUUACCAAUCAAUUCAGAAAACGACCUGCUGUGAACUAUCCAAUAACUCAAAGUCUUGCUUAAAAUCAAGUCCGUGACAAAUGCUCGAAGGUAAUAUGGUACAAACACGGGCAAUUGAGAGCUUGCAAAGUUCCAACCAUUUAAUAAAAAUGAAGACUAAAAUGAGUUCCUUCUCCAGGUAUAAUAUUAGCUGCAACAGAAGCUUAUAUGCGGUAAUUGUGCUGCAUGUUUUUGGUAACAAACGUCUAUUUUGUAAAUGGGAUAGUUGUGUGUCCACAGAUAGAUGUGCUACAUGUUUUUGGUAACAAACGUCUAUUUCGUAAAUGGGAUAGUUGUGUGUCCACAAAUAGAAGGAAUAGUACACUUUUGGGGAAUGCGCCUUUAGUACCUGGUCAAAAUCCAUCUUUAGUACCGGUUGUGCAACCGGUAUUGUUAUUUCGCCCUUUAGUACCGGAUCAAAUAAUCGGUACUAAAGGGGUAUUAAAAAAUAAAAAAAAAAGAAAUCCGCCAACCGGAGACCUGACCGUACCCUGCAGCCAUCCGCUAGAGCCCUAGAGCCCCGGCCGCACACCUGAGCCCCGCACCAGAGAGAGAGAGGGAGGGAGGGAGGGAGGGAGGCGGUGUACUUACGCUGCUCAGCCACCGCCGCUGAUUGCUGCCACCGCCGGAUCUGAGGGAGAGGUGGCCGCUACUCCAAGAUCCACACGCUCCUUGCUCCACCAUGCCUGCCGACGCUCCACCACCGCGCCCUCCCGCCGGAGCUCCGCUGCUCCUUGCCCCGCCGCCGCUCCUUGCUCCGCCACGCCCUGCCAACGCUCCACCGCCUUGCCGCACCCUCCCUUCCUGCCUCCGCUGCUCCUUGCCCCGCCGCCGCUCCUUACCACAUGUAAGAGGUGAGGGGCGAGUGGAGGGGGGAGGAGAGGGGCGGCGACGGGGGCGGGGGGAGGGGGGGAGGCGGCAAUGGGAUCUGUGGGAGGGACAAAGGGAGGGGAUUCAGCUGCGGAGAGAGAGGGGAUUCGGCGGGGAGAAGAAGAGAGAGAGGCGCAGGUGAGAGGAUGAGGGGGACGAGCAGAUAAGUGUGGGGAGGGGGUGAGAGAGAGAAGGGAGGACUGAUGCGUGAAGAGAGGUUGCGAUUUAGUACCCGGUGAAGCGUCCACCCGGUACUAAAGGCCUUCAGGCACAUUAGUACCGGUUGGAGGCUUCAACCGAUACUAAUGGGUGACUUUAGUACCAGGUGAAGUCUCCACCCAGUACUAAAGGGGGUCAUAGGGGUUCCUCGGGGACUAGCUGUUAGGUCCGGUACUGAGCCUCAGGAUGAAUGCUGAGUUUUCCAGUAGUGAUAACUAUUAUCACAUAAUAUCUUGUGGACUAAGGGACUGAUUGGUGGGGCACCAAAAUGUGCCAAACCAAAAUCAGGGCAAGCCCAAUGAUUCUAGUGCUCGCUUGGUUCAAAUCCAAAAAACUGGCGUGCCAAAGUUUCUGGCACAUCGGCAAGGUUCAGCUUGCCCACGUUUUGGCUGUCCCUGCCAUGCUCCCGUAUUCCCAUCCCUUACUAGUUUGCGCUAUUGUCCUCUACCUGUCAUCUCACUUCUUGCAGCCUCCAGCCAACCCGUCAUCGUCUCCUCUCCUCAAGUACCCAGGUUCUCACCCAUCAACAACAAAGCACUGGAGCUGGAGUUCCACCACCACCCUUUCCCGUUGAAGAUUAAAGGGAACUACCUUGAGUAUAGAUGGGGUAGCAAAAUCUUUCCAUCCGUUGUUAUGCAAGCUGCAUAUUCUAAAAGUGUGUGCUAGUAUGAAUCAUGAACAUUGGCAGUUGUGUUUUGGCAUCAAACCAAUUGGGGGCCAAAAUUUUGGCUGCCACAUUUUGGCACCCAACCAAGUGCCAUCCUAAAACUUUUGCUCAGAUUUUGGCAUGCAAAUUUUGGUAGGGCACAUUUUGGUGCCCAACUAAUCAGACCCUAAAAUUAAAAGUCUGUGGUUAGAAACUUAUUAUGUUCAAUUUGAACCUCUAAUUUAUUAGUUCCAUUUUGGGUUUUGCUACAGUGCGCCGGAUACUUCCCAGGAGGUACAGGAGUUCACAUAAAUCAUAGCCGUUGAUUUGUAGAAUAACUUAUUCAAGAAAUUAAAAAAAUCAAGGAAAAGAAGAAAAAAAUCCAUCCCAGGAAUCACGUUAUUUCUUCUUCAUCCGGCUCUUUCCUUGUCACCCACGGAGAGAAAGAAAGAAAAAGCUACACCGACAUGGAAGUCGGAACGCAGGUCCUCGGCGACACCUCUCGUGAAUCCUCCCCAUUCUGCAGCAUCCCUUAAAUUGUGGAAGCAAAUCAAAUCCAGGUUCAAGAUUUUCGAUCUAAUCGCAAUCGACUUUACCUGCUAGAUCUAAUUGCCACGUUAAAAGAAAAGACGUGAUACAUGCCAUCACGUGAAAAGUCAUCCAGAUCGAUGACAUCAUUUAUUUCGGUCGUCGCAACGUCCACUUUGAUAACGUUCGAUACCGCGGAUGAUCCAAGAUUCAUAAACGAUGUUUUCAAAUUUGGUUACGCAUGCGACGUGCUUCCUUGGUGGGCUAUAAAGGUAACUUGUGUGACGUACUUCCUUGGUGGGCUAUAAUAAUCUUCUAUCAAGAGUAAUGGAGCGAUAGCAAGAACUAGAUCUCUUUCAAGCCUUGUGGUCCUAUUAUCUUCCAGAGUCAUUAUCAUCGUGAAUUUAAUUCUAACUUUCCAACAAGGCAGCUAUUCGAGUAGCUACAAUAUGUCUAUUUCUCUAAACCAGCUGUGCCUUUCAAUCUCUUUUGUCCUUCCGUUCGUUCACUUAAUUUCAUCGAGGAAUUGACAAGAUCAAACGUGCUUUACCGUAGGAGUUACCACGCGCACUCACCCAUAUGAAUACACAUAUGCAACCCUAUCCAUAUGAGCAUAUUUGAGAGACACCAAUAUUAUUUUUCUUUCGCAAAACACAGUAAGUUCAUGUAUACACACGCAUACUCACCCUUAUGAAUACACACAUGCAACCCUAUCCAUAUGAGCAUAUUCGAGAGACACCAAUAUUAUUUUUCUUUUGCAAAACACAUAUAGAUGCAUAAGUUCAUGUAUACACAUGCACACUCAUCCCUAUGAAUACACAUGCAACCCAAUCCCUAUGAGCAUAUUCGAGAGACUGGGCUGACAGAUCUCGAGAUUGCGUGUACCUCACUAUAGACGGACAUGUCGUCUAGGUACCACUGAAAGAAUAGUAUUUAGCAUCUGUUAAUUCCUAGAAUAAAUCUAGGAAAUAUUCCAAGUCGAGGACUCGAACCGAGUGGGUAGGUUCUACCACAAGAAAUCAUAGUAACUACGCUUAGUUCACCACCUAUAGAUAUUUAGCAUGAUCUGUGCACAGCUUUUCUUAGUAUCCAACCAAACUUGGUGAUUCGUGGUUUUGAAAAGGUUUUUUAAAGCUCAGCUAGGAUUUUCUGGGUGGGACCUUCAAAAUAAAAAAUGGUUCACAAACCAGAUUCUAGUAGGAGAUCUGGAUAGGACUUAAACCACUUAAGGAAAAAUUUUCUAGCCUGUAUAAGAUAGUCAAUUAUUACCCUCAUGUUACAAUGACAAAUGUGAUACAUCAAAUGCCACUCAAUAUCUAUUUUCAAAGAGCUCUAGUAGGGGGAUAAGUUGACAGUGUGGCAUAAUACGGUAGCUCAAAUAACUUUCAGAUUUCUAACGAGUGGGAUAUUUUUACCUUCAACCUACAUAAACAUGGGACUGUAGAGCAGAGACAUCACACAAAUAUUCUAUGCAAUUAUGGCUAGACUCUCAAUUGUAAUUUUGCUUAUCUUUUUUGUUUCCUUUUAUGUUUCUUGAGGUUUUAUUUGUAAGCUAAACUCUUGUUUCCUUUAAUAUAUAUAAUCAGUAGGGGCUCUCCUCUCCUGUUACCAUCAAAAAAAACAUGGGACCGUACGAUCAAUGUAUCAAUACCUAAUUAACCAAUUUCCAACCGUAAGAAAUUCAUAUGGAAGUUAAAAAAUCCUCUAAAAAUUGGUACCUCCAACAAGAAAUAAUUUUAAUAAAGGAUAAUUUGGCCAAAAGGAAUUGAUUUGGGAGGCAAAAGUGUUGUUUCUUUUAUUGCAAGGAAACAACUAAACACAUCUUAUUUGACUACCAUGCCAAAGCAAUUUUGAGGAUUGUUCAUAUUGUUACCGAGUUAACUUCACCUAGAUCUAUAGUUCAUAUGUUUGGGGAAUUGGUUAACAGGCAUAGAAAAGAAGAAGAAAAAUGAUCUUUGUGGGGUUGUAGAACUUCUGUGGGGUAUUUGAUGUACACAAUGAUUUAUUUUUUAAUAUGAAAACAAUUUUUCUUUUAUGCAGGCUACUUUUAGAGAGAACAUAUUAGCUAUGAUUUUGGACACUAUUGCAGCGUGCAGAUAGGGAGACAGUCCACCUAGCAAGAAGUCAUUGCUUUGAAUAUUUUCACAAAAAUAGUGGAGAACCAGUAAUAGACUUUGCAAAUUGGUUGUAAUUGUUUCCUUUCAUUUGUGUGCCCCCCCCCCUCUUGCGCCCUCGUGAACAAUGCUUGAGAAUAUUGUGAGAAUUUGACUGUGUGCGUCCGGCAGAGGUCUAAAACAUUUCCUUUUCCUAAAAUAUAAAAGUGUGUAGGGUGGUUUAUCAAUUUGCGUAGAGGACUCCUUGUUGGUCAUAUACAGGAACAGAAUAUAAAUAAAAGAACUCUGAUGUUUAGGUGGGUGAAAUGAUUAUGAGAAAUUUACUUCAUGUGUCCACCUCUUGCAGUACCAUCUUAAUUUCAAAGCUGUAAGCAUCAUGCUUUUAAUUUGCAUCAUUUUCAGUUAGCUUUCCUAUAGCCAAUGCAUUUGUACGACAAAAAUGACAACCUAUUAUGGUCGUGCAAUAUGUUUAUUGCCCUAAGCCACAUGUGUUUUUCAUUUCAUUCUUGUUGUUUUGCGUGGGCUCUAUACUUUCCCCUAGAGAAUACGAUGACAACUUGCCUCAAGCCCUCGACUAGUCCUAACAUAGAGGCCAAUAAAGACAAUUAGAAAGAAGACUACAGCGUAACUGAUGUUUUUCAUAUUAGUAUAGAUAAGUCUGUUUUAGCUCACCCACACAUUUUACCAUAGAGGCCGACUGUAGACAAUAAACAUGCUCAAACAUGAUCUAUGCAAUGUGGCCGUGCAUUUUAGGAAAAAAUGGAACUGUUUUUUUUACUGGACGAAUUUUUUUUAGCUCAUCAACCCAUGCCAUUUCUUCUUUAUCUAAUAAUACAUCAGCGGCUAAAGAGGCAUGCUCGUGGGCCAUGGAGAUGGGUGAAAGAACAUGUUUUUUUUUGGCACCUCUUAUAUUUCAAGUGCUUGAAAAUUUUUAUUGUUUCAUGCAAUGUAUUUCAAUAUUAUAAAUGCUGCUACGUGAUGUUGCAUAUGUUGGUAUCUGAUAUUGCGUACAUCGCUAUUCAAGUGUUAUAAGUGAAUUGAAUAUGAAACAUAAUUUAUUUUUUAUGUUUUGGACGUUGAUUUUCAAUGUUGCAACCCAUUGCCUAAAAAUUGUUAAGCUAAGGAACCUGUUAGUUAUUUGGUCUAUUGCGCCUAUACACAUGGACAACAUUUUUUAGGUUUUCGAAAUUUACGCCACCUCACUAAAAAUAGAUGUGCUUUAGUGAUCAAAGCAAUAGUUGCCAACCAAGAUAGCCUAUAUAAGAGCUCAAGGCAAUGCUAGCAUCUCCCAAGACGGAUUAACGACAAUGCUCGGUGCAGCAACUGAGCAGCUGGUCUGUGUGACCGGAGCUGGAGCCUUCAUCGGGUCAUGGCUAGUCAAGGAGCUUCUCCACCGUGGCUAUGCUGUAAGAGGCACCGCAAGAGACCCUGGUGAGUCAGCGACUCGGUGUAAUGCGUCCAUCAAGGGUGAUUGGUCUCUAAAUUUGCAUGGAUUUUUCAAAGGACUCACCAACUAGUGUCGGAGCACCCAUUGUCCUAGCUUUCCCACUCACUAUGCCACACCAACGUAUCUCCUUCCUCCACCCUCACCAGCCAUGUAUGAUAUAUAGCAUGCCACACGCCCUUUAAUGCCUUCUUACCUCUCAAUCUCUUAUUACUAGGUGCCAACUGUGUAAACUUCAAACAAAAUGUUGCUAGCUAGUUGCUGAUUUUUGUGCAUCUGCUAACAUGAUUCCAGUGGACCGCAAGAAGUGUGUAUAUUUAUCUCACUAGUUGUUUUUAGUUCUGUAAUUUAUAGAUUAAUGAUUAAUUUUUUGUUACGGUGCUAGAGGACUGCAAGAACGCCCAUCUGCAUGCACUCGAUGGAGCUGAAGAACGGUUAUCUCUGUACCGUGCUGAUGUGUUGGACUACAAGUCACUUCGUCCUGCAUUCAGCUUAUGUGAUGGUGUUUUCCAUGUUGCCUCCCCAGUAUCGAAUGAUCCUGUCAGAAUACUUCCUAUAAUAAGUACCAUCUAUCUAAGUCUCCUACAUGCUCAGAAAGAUUAUUGAAUCCAUGUCUAACAUGAACCUAUUUAAUUUAUUCCAAUUGAAGCGACAGACAAAUGUUAAACGUGUCAUGAAAAUAUGCAGGAACUUGUGCAGGUCGCUAUUGAGGGAACAAAGAAUGUCAUCAACGCUGCAGCAGACAUGGGAGUGCAGCGUGUGGUGUUUACCUCAUCUUAUGGAGCUGUGCAUAUGAACCCUAAGAGGAACCCUAAUCAGAUUCUGGAUGAGAGUUGUUGGAGUGACCUUGAGUACUGCAAGGAAACACAGGUCACCACUUCUACCAUAUAAAAGAACCCUUCCAAAAAUAAUUACACUAUUCAAUGAUAUUUUUGGUAAAUGAAGCACACCUUUUUAGUUAUCACAUAAGCAUUCGAUGAAAAUAAAUAGGAGACAGCGGAGUUAACUAAAUCUAAUUAAGGUAACACCACAACAAACCUUUUCUAACGUGAUACACCGACAAAAAAUUCAAGAAAGAGUGUAUUUUUGUCAUGGAAAUAUAUCAAAAUAUCCUUCAUGCCAAUCACCACACAAGUAAUGACCAUUUCUGAAUGCUAUUUGUGACAUUUUCUUGCAGAUGCCAUCUCAUUUUUUUUAUGAAAGCAUGUUCGUUGCCACAUUAUAUUAACUCUAUAAUUUUUGUGUCACUAAAUAAUUUUGUUAGAAGCAUAUAAAUAAACUAACAAUCUUUGCCAUUAUAAAUGCAGUACAUAUUUUCCAUUAUAUUGGAAAUUUAAUUUCCACUGAGAAUUUUUUGAGUGGCACAUAUAUGUAGUACACCUGCCUUAUGGGUCUAUAACUUAUGAUGAAAGUGCAUGCACAUUCCUUGACAUUAUUGCACGUUACGCUAUAGAUAAACAUGUCUCGUAAAAACCUUAUGACACGGGAAUAUAACCAUCAUUAUUGGGUUAGCACACCUGCCAUGAUUAACAUGCAUCAUAUUAUGGACUUAUUAUGAUUGAAUUAUAGAACUGGUACUGCUAUGCAAAGGCAGUUGCUGAGAAGACUGCAGUGGAAGAGGCAUCAAAGAGAGGGGUACAACUAAUAAUAGUCGUCCCUGCAGUCACGAUAGGCAGAAUGCUACAGUCAACGUUGAACGCAAGUUUAUACGGAGUCGCCACCUACAUGAAUGGCACAAAGAAGGCGUAUCCAAAUGCAGUUGCCGCAUAUGUCGAUGUGCAGGAUGUUGCUCUUGCCCAUGUUUUGGUGUACCAAGAUCAGAAUGCACAUGGACGCUACCUCUGCAUAGGUGACGUGCUACAUCGGUCGAAGUUUGUUCAAAUGUUGAGAGGGCUCUUCCCACAAUAUCCUGUCACCGCUAAGUAAAUCUCUGCACUCUGCAUUAAAAUUUCAGACAUAUAUUUCAUUCAAAUGUGGCCUUGUUUAAUCUUUUAUAUUCCUUUAGAAAAGCUAUGAAAUUUUAUAAAGCAAAGUAAUCAAAAUUAGACUGCCAACUUAAAGUUAAUCCAAUUUGAGAUUAACCAUAGAUAAAAUUUUGAAUAUUUUAAAAAAAAGUCUGUGUCAACCGGAAGUUUGAGGAUUAAUUAGUUUAUGUGUUCAGAAUUUGAAUACAAUUAUACUGCUCCCAGGUCCAUUUCUAUAUAGAUUAAACUAUAAUGAUGUCCCUGGUGUGCAUUAAACUAGAGUUCAUAUUAGUUUGAGUUGCACAGAUUUGGCUACCCUUUAUUUGCAUCUCAGUAUUACACAAAAAUAUCACUAUUCAUAUGUUCGUUGUAUGUCCUUGAUGUCUCACUGGAACGAAGGUCCAGGUUCCACAAGUGAGCCACAAGUGCAUAUUGUGGAUUUCUCCUUAAUUAUGUAAAAUAUUCUAAGUAGCCAUUUUUAUAUGUUAUUAAGUGAUGGCAAACUACAUGUAUAUACCAUUGUUGCACAGUCUUUUACAUGAUGUUUUUGACAUUUCUUUCGAAAUUUGAGUUACUUUAGGCAACGACCAUGAUAAAAAAGAGGUUUUCAUCAAAUUUUAAAAAUACCUAAAGUAAUAUUAUUUUCAUAACAUUACUAGUGCUGCUGCAAAGGUGAAACUAUUGUCAUACUCAUCAAGUGCGGUAUAGAAAAGUGCUAUGUAUUACUUCAACUAACUUUUGGUUCUUUUUCCUACUAACAACCUAAACACUCACCAAAAAAAUAUAAAAAAUAUCUAUCAUCAGAGCAACUUAGUUUGGUCCCAGCUUCCAUAAAUGAAAAGGUAGUAUUUUGAUUUACAAAUUUAAUUUCUCUUGUCUUUGUCUGCCCAUUAUUUAGAUGUGAGAACGACAGUACGCCGAUGGUGAAGCCUUACAAGUUCUCUGUGCGACGGCUCAGGGCUCUGGGUAUGAAGUUCACUCCUUUCAAGGAAAGUGCAUACAACACAGUGAUCAGCCUACAGGAAAAUGGUCAUAUCCCCAUACUGCCACAUAAGUCAGCCCUGUGAGAAAUGAGGAUAUAUAUUUAAAUAAAGGAUUUGAACAUGGGUGUUGAGUCAAUACUUUAGUUGGUAUACAUGGACUAUGUAUGAAGUAUUGUUCAAGCUUUAAAGGGAAUAACCACUCAAAUUAUUCUUAAAUAAUAUAUAGGAAAUUUGGAGCUGGUCUUCAUUUAUAAAGCAAAGGCACAAGUGUGGGGAUAGAUCCUCUAGUAACCGUAAGGAAGGAAGAAGAUAGGAUCAUAUUAGGAUUCUUGAGUAUAUUUGUAAUCCUAAUAGAACUCUUACCUUUACCUUGUAAUUCUAUCAAGACUUAUACAUUGUAACCUUUUGAGAUAUAUAAAGGGGCAGGGGUUCACAACUCAUACCUCAUACAUCCAAGCGCAUAGCGUAAUAAAUAUACUCCACUUCAAAUAUGGCGUAAGGUAUUACAUUACUCUGAUAGCCCAAACAUGUAUAAAUUUGUGUCUUAUGUCUAUUGAUUUAUCACAAGCUUCAGAUCCGAUGAUUUCCCCACCUAACAAUUUACUAUCUCAGGAAUACUUUCGGUAGGUUAACGGCUACAAAACACCAACAAAGUAUCUGCUCAGUUGGUUUCUGUGACUGCCCUUUGCUUGCUUUUGGCAAACAUAUUAGAUAUGUUGUAUGUGCUCUGUCUGUGCGUCAAACCUGCUCUUACAUCAGUAGCUUGAUUGAUCCUAAACUUCCUCUGAAAUAGCUUAUCAAGAUAUCUUUUACGGUCCUUAGAUGAUGAGACACAAAGCAUAGGGGGGGAAAGACUAUAUCACACCUAGGUGUUUAUGAAGGCCCAAAACACCCGAGCUCACUACUUUAUCGAUAGUGCUCGUCCUUCAUUGUCCAUUCCUCUUUUCUUUCUUCCGAACCGCACUGCGGCCCAGGUCUUCCUAGCUCUGCUCACCCACGAGGCCACGAAUGCCUUGCACAACUUCAGCUUUGACUUAGGAUCUGUCUUGCACAACUGGGUGCUUUGACUUAGGAUCUGUCUUGCACAACUUCAGCUUCGAGAUUCAGGUUGAACUGUAGUUUGUACACAGUAGAUUAAACUAGUCCAAAUAUUUAUAUUUAGGCACCGUUUGGUAGAGCUCCGGCUCCUAUCAAAAUGGCUCCGGCUUUGGCUCCUCUGGUGGAGUGACUUCUCCAGUGGACUGUUUUGGAAAACGUUUAGUAGUAAAACGGCUUCUCAACGUCAAUAUGGAUAAUUUUAUGGUCAAUUAAUACUUGUAAAGGGAGGAAAAGUUGGUGAAGCCACUUUUUUUGUCUCCUCCUCUUUAGUGUAAGCCGUUUUAUGGUUUCUCCUCGGUUUCGAUGGUGAAGCCGUUUUGAAGUUGCUCCUUUGGUACGUCUUCACCACGUCUUCACCAAAAACUGGUGGAGACGCCUUUUGAGAAGCAUCAAAGGUUAGUCUGCACUAUAAACAAAACUAUUCACUAAAUGUUCCUGACUUACGUCUAGUUCUAGAUCCAAAAUUUCUUAGUGCUACCAAUAUCUACCUUUAACAGAUCCAUAAUUUUUUUAGACAAGCUAUACCAAAUUGACCCAUAUUAGCCACUAGUUUGAGUGCCCUUGUGUUGAUUUUGGCAAAAAAAAAUAAUUAUCAUUGUCUUGACUGAGCCAAGCAUUUCUCUUGUACACAAGCGAUCAAUACCAGUAAAAGCCGGCAUACAUGAUACAUGUACCCCCAUAAACCUGCGGUGUGUAAAUUGGCCAGAUAAAACGCUGCUGCAUUCCUGGCAGUCUGCUCGGGUGCUGGAGCACCGUUUUUUUGAAAAUUAAGUGCUGGAGCACCGUACCAUCACAAUCUGUUGAUCCAUACCAUUGGUGUUCUCCGCGCGACGCCGUCCCUCCGGCGUCCUCCAUUCCCCGUCGCCGCUCCACCUUCAUCACUGAACGUCUUCCCCUAGCUCCGCCUUCUCUUUGCCGGAGCCACGAACCAGUUGGCCUCUCCUCCUCUUAUUCAGACGCCGUUUCUUGCCGGCCUCCACCUGAGCAGCUCUCUCCAUGUCGCACGUCGCGACGUAGCUCGCGUACGGAGGGAUGCGGGAUUGCCACAUCAGCACGUCAAACCGCUUCUCCCCGGCCCAGACGACGCCGCUGCCAACCUCCAGCAUCGUCACCGUCGGGAGCUCGCUCCGUGCCAUGCCCGUCGACUUUCGCCUGUCGUAGAACAAGCACGGAGCAUUCGGCGGCGCGCCCUUCACCGGCACGCGGGGGUAAUAAAUCCACCACUCACCGGCGCCAAGCUGCAGCACCGUGACUCCGGCGGACACCUUCAGGACGCGGCGCCAGGACCGCGCGCUCAGGUCGGCGCGGAGCGACGCGGCGAUCUUGUUCACCGCGGCGAACGGCGUGAGGUCCGGGAUGCCGGCGAACAGCGCCAUGGCGACGCGCAGCAGCUCCGGGCGCUCCUCCGGGUCGGCGCCUCCGAACGCCAUCGCUUUGAACAGGUACCAGAGCUCCUCCCGGCGCAGCUUGCGCAGCCUGAGCGGCGGCACGGUGCCCAGGCCCGAGUGCGCCUCCGUCCUGCUGAUGAUUACGACCUUGCUCUCUCCGUGCGCGCGGCGGCGAACGGACGAGCGGAACCUUCUCCAUCGCUCCUCCUCGUCCACGUCGCCGCCGGCGAGGUCGAUCACGAACAGAGAUCUAGCAGCGGUGUCGAUCAACCCUUGAUGAUGCUCAUGGCUCGGUAGAAUAAGAUUAUCACUGUUAAGAUAAUGAAUCUUGGCGAAUUUCUCUCGCACCCUCUCCUCGAGGCACGCGUGCUCAACCAGAGUCCGCUUGCCGACUUCGUGAGGGCCGAUGACCGGAAGAACAUCCAAAUCUUUAGCAGGUUGUAGCAGGAAGCUGACGAUCUGCUCCUUCUCUAUCUGCCGGCCAAACAUGCACGUCUCCAUGAACAGGUAGAAGCUGUACGGCUGGCGGUUGAGACGUGGACAGGCACCGAGGAGCACGAUGAACUCCCUCAUGUCGCUCAGCGCAGCUUCCAGGGUGUCCACCAGAACAGACAGCUCACCUGUGGCGUCACUGCCCGGAGGCAAGCCGAGCGACCGCCUCGCCGUGGCGUGCGGUCUCCUCCUGCUGCGCUCGAUGGCUCGCCUCGUGAAGGCGUCGAGCACGUAGGCGCCCCGGCACAUCUCUCCCCUCAGCUGGUUGAGCUGCAGCAGCAUCGCCCGGUUGGUGACCUGCCGCGCCUCGGCCUCCUCGACGACGACGCGGGCUCGCAGCAGCGCUCGCUGCAGCCUGACGACGUCGUCGUCGGUGGUGGUGGAGCCGGGCUCCUGGAACUUGCUGAUGAGGAAGGAGAUCAACCGGCCGACGAGGUCGCUAGCAACUGCAGACAGCAGCGCCUCCAUUGCCAAGGACCAAUGCCCCUCCCUGCCCCAGGCCCUUUAACUCCUCAUUGACUGAACAGCAAUGGACGUAUGAACGUAGUAGGAUGCUGGUUUGGAAUUUUAUUCGCCAUUGAUUAUGUGUGCGGUUACGGUUGUCACAGGUCACUGACCGAGAUGCAUUAGCCGACGACCGGGUACACCAGUACAGAAAAGAUUAGCGCCAUCUCGCUUUCAGACACACGGACCAUAUCUUUUCUCCCCUCUUUGCAAACACGCAAUGCUUGGUAAUAAGGCAGGAAAGAUAUGCUGACUGGCAGAGAAGAAACUUACUUGCUCGUUGUCCAAGGGAGGACCUCUAGGUGCUCAAUAUUCCAUCAAGGCAUUGCCACUGUAAUCUUGCCAAGAAACAGCAAUAUUGCCCGGUACAUAUUUGAAUAGUAUUUCCUUUAACAGGUUUACAAUGGAGCCAUAGUUCUUCUCAUAUAGUAGGCACGAAAAAUUCCCCAGCAUAUAUACUAGUAAAAAAGAAGAGGAACGAAGCUCUCCAAAAAUCCUUGCUGCGCUGUGCAAAAUUCAGCUGCCAGAGUAGCAGCACAAAGAUGUCCCAGGACAGGAUACGCAAUUGGUGGAUUUAUUUGGGUUUCAGCUAGUAUCAGUUCGUACAUUCCAAGCUGGCUACAUUUUGCUCCAGUGCGAGGAAAUAGCAAGCACUGUGCAAGAUCCAAGAAGUGGGAACCCACACAAAUUCUGCUCCAAGAGAGAAAUUGUAUUUUAUUUAUAUGAUUCAGUAUGGUGAUCCCACAACUGUAUUUGCCACAUAAGCAGCCCUAAAGCUUAUAGGCUUCAUAGGAUUUCGUUAUAUCAGAACUUGCUAAAGAACUCACAGAUGUGAUCAGAGACCUCACUAGGCUUCUCCUGAUUGAUGAAGUGGCUCACUCCCUCCAUAACAACAACAUCCUCCAGUUUUGGUACGCUUGCCUUGAAGCCACCCUUGUGGAUGUAAUCCUGUACCCCCGGAGUGUUGUACGUAAUAUCCAGGUCCCCAACAAUGAAUUUUGUUGGAACUUUUAUCGGAGCACCAGUCCAUGGUGCAGAAAGCUCCCAAUUCCUGCAUGAACAUAAAAUGAAUCUGAUGAGAUCAAUGCCUUGGUCAGUUCUAAACAAAGCCCCCAUACAUAAAGUUUGAAUUUGAUUGGCUGACACUAUCUGAAAUCUAAUUCAGUCAUACAUACCAACUAUUGUUUAUUAAGAUGAAUGUAUUUCAGUACAUCUGUCAUUAACUCCUCUCCUUUUUAAGUUUUGGCAAACAUUUCAGGGUGAUAGAUCCUCCUAGCAUGUGAAUUCAAAAUCAUAAGGUAUGCACUACAGAAUGUGAAACCAUUUAAACAUUUGAAGGCAUCAAACGACAGUAAAUCAACAGUAAAAUCACAAAGGUAUGCACUACAGAAUAACAAUAACACUGGCCAACAGUGAACUGAAAGUUGACUUGGCGGAUGGCAAAUAAUUGAUUGCCUGAAUAAAGAAGUAAAUUGAAAAUAAAAAUUGUGAGAGUGAACCAUAAAAGACAUACAGGUUCAUGCAUCUGUAGUAGUUAAAUCCUCCAGUAAAGCCUGUCUUUGAAAAUUUUUCUGCAUAGUAGGAAAUAUCUUCCUCUGAUAGCCAUGGAGGGCAUGUUCCGUCUGAAUCAAGUGAGUCAAAGAAGCUCUUGUCCUUGGGUAGAACAAGAGGAGCUGGCUUGCGCAUGCCAAAUGUCUUAUUAAAAAUAUACUUGGCAUCAUAUUGAGCGAAUUCAGCUUCAGCAACUCCAGGUUCCUGCAUGCAUCAUUAUGCAAUUCAGAUGCGCAAUAUUUCUCAAAAGAAAAAUCAUGUCUCAAGCGAUAUCAAUAUGCACAAAGUAUAUCAUAUAAAAAUAAAAAUCAAUAGCUGACUCCAUACAACCACACUAAGGGAAUGCUGCAUUUUAUAUUCAAAGGGUGUUACGAAGUUGAGGAUUUCAAGAGAGUGCCAUCCCAAGAGUUAUUAUUGUUCUUGAAGAUCUAGAAUGAAGAAAAAUCUUGGAAUUCAAGACCGAUUACUGAUUAUUAGACGAUGAAGCUUAUCCCCCAUCGUCUCACUGGCCGACCUUGACCCCUGUUAUUUUUGGGUCAUUCUGAAGUCACUGAGACAAUCUGAAUUGUUAAUUUUUUUACAGCUUUGAAAGACCCGCUGCUGCGUGCAUAUGCUCAGUUGGUAGAAUCCCAAAGAAGGUUUGAUAUUUUCCAAGAAGCAAUGCUAUUAACUGGUGGUUUGCUGAUGCUACUUUCUUUUAGGAAAAAUGAAAUCAUGGACUGAGUAUUUAAGCUUGUAUAAAAUGAUCUGCUAAUAAUCUCUCAAUCAAGUCUAGGGUUGCUUCUUCAUCUUCUAAAUCAAGCAAUCUCUCAAUUAGCAGUUAUUUCGUAACCCUUAUCUAUCUACAAUUCUGGAUAGUUGUUAUUGGUCACUCGCAGUAUUAUCUGGCGUCAAAUCUGUUCCUUCAUUUCGCUAUUUUAGAGCAGCCAGGAGAAUACAAAUUGCACAGAAAGUAGGCACCAAGUAAUCGUUCCAGCAUCGAUCCAACCAAUCUGCCAAAUUAAACGAGUCCAUCGCCAGUGCCAAACCUCGUCCAUUUAAUGGUUGCCAGGACAGAGGACAGAACAGGGCUACUCAUCAUAAAUAAAGGUCAAUUCUGCCUGAGUAGUGAGUACAAGUACACAAUGGGAAUGGAAGCAGAGUACUCCACUUGUUACCUGGAAGCGGCACAUGUAGUGGUCUUCCCCGCAGGCGGCCUUGAUGGUCUGGAGCGGGCUCCCCUCCGGCCGCCGCGGGUGGUACACGACGCUGAGGUUCACGAGCGCCCGCACCAGGUCCGGCCGGAGCAGGCAUAGCUGCCACGCCACGAUGGCGCCCCAGUCGUGCCCCACCACGAACACCUGCCGCGAGCAGAGGACCCAAUCCAAAAAAGAAGAAAAUAGAAGUCAACGUCGAGUAGGUGAUUGCUGCUUCGCAGCUUCGCUUCGAGGAAUCGAACGGAUUGCCGCUGCCAUGAAACCUGGGGCUGGCCGAGGUCGGCGAUGAGCGCGACGAGGUCGCCGACGACGUGGAACGUGGUGUAGGCGGACGCGUCGGGCGGGGCGUCGGAAUCGCCGUAGCCGCGGAGGUCGGGCGCCACGGCGCGGUAGCCCCGCGCCGCCAGGGCGGCCAUCUGGUGGCGCCAGCCGUACCAGAGGUCCGGGAAGCCGUGCAGGAGCAGCACCGCGGGGGCGGCGCCGCCCUCGGGCCCCGCCUCCGCCACGUGCAGGCGGACCCCGUUCGCCUCCACCGUCCGGUGCCGCACCCCAUCCACCACCGCCGCCAUCCCUAUCCUGUGCCCUCCUCUCUGCUCCAGUGCUCACCGAGGCGCCCUGGCUCACUCAGGCAGCAAGCCUGCUACCAGUGGCGCACGCGCAGCCGCCUGCUUUUGUAGCGGGGGGCCGCCGGCGGGUGGCUUUGGGAGCGCAGCACGCAGCUGGGGUAUUUUGGGGCGUGCGAGGCGUCCGAACGGACGGGCGGCGCGGGCGAGAGUUUGUGUAAUGGGUUUUUUAAGUCUAUGUUUAGUACUUUUAAUUAAUAUCUAAAUAUUCGAUAUGACACGUGCUAAAAAUAAACAAAGGGAACCAAAUGCCCCCUAAGUUUUAACCGGCUUGUCGUAGAGAAAAGGCGAUAUCAUCAUACGAAGAUAGGUGUGCAUUCGUCUGGAGAUACGAGAAUUUGUAAUAAGAUUGGUCCUCUCCAUGGUAGAUCCCUUGCAGGAAAAAAAAAUAGAAAAAUGGACUGAAAUUGUUAGCCUUUGUAAAAUGGACUGAAAAUGGACUACUUUAGGUGAGGUUGCAUUUUAUACAAGAGAUUGUACUGUUGAAUCGAUUUGAAAUUUGUACAGGUGGUUCAUGAGGUGAUACACUGGAGGGGGACGUGGGGAGGGAAGUCGAUUUUACGGUGAACGGCGAACGCUAGCAAAGUAGCAAUUAAGGUAAGUUUUUAGAGGUGGACAGUAUUUCGAAUAAAGGUACUUUCUGUGUUUAUCUGUUUUUAUAUAAAAUGUAUCCGAUAUAAAUUCAAAUAUCCUCAAAAUACUAAUGUAAAUUGGAUGCUUCGGUUUGCUGAUUUUCUGUGUCAGCGUCAGUCUUCCAUUUGCGGUGGCAAACGCUGGGCGGCAAGCGGCAUGGGUCGCUCAGACGGUCGCGUCCUGCGGUUGGUGACUUGGUGGACGACCACCAGCCGGUCAGUUCAGCUGUUAGCUCGCUACUGAAAGCUUGAGGCUGAUUGGCAAAUCCCUUAGCUGAACAAAGCAAAAGGAGAGCUUCUGGAGAGGACGAAAGAGUGGAGCAGCUUUUACAUUGUAAAGUGCUAGGAUUGGUGGUAGUAUCUCUGACUUAGCUUGGUGGUAGUACUUGGUUAAGAAAAUUGCAUACAGACGGUGAAACCUUUUUGAGAAAAUUGUAUCUGCUUUAUUUUAACUAUGUAGGAUUACAAUCACGAAAUAGAAAAGGCAAGAGAGCAGAAAGAAAUCAAACUUUUUGAGAUAGUAAAUCUUGAUGAUAAACUAGACGAGUAGUUCGAAACAUUAUAAACAAGGAACAAAAGCUAAUAAUUACAAACCCACAAGCUAAAGUCGAUCGACACUAGCUUUUUUGGUGUUUUUUUUUUUUGAAAUAGGAGAUUCUAGGUGCCUAUCAGAUUAAAAGGUCAUGUUAGGGGAUGUUUGCUAGUUUCGUUUUCUCUUAAGGCACUUGUUUCCAAGAUUAACUCUUCUAUUUUUCUCCACAACCCAGCAUGAUACGUAGUUGUGAUAUGGAGGGAUGUGAGAUUGACCGGCUAUAUCAAACAUCUCUCCAUUUUGCACAGGCCUUGAAGUAAGCACAUCUUCGGCCCUUUUCUUGUUGGUCAUGUCUCCUUGCAUCAUAGACCUUGUCUUGUAUCUGUUAUAGCAAAACAUGAGAGGACUAUCCUGGCUAAAGCCAAGAAAAUACGAUAAAAAUCUAUUGCUAGAUUGUGUUUCCCUUGGGUCUUCUCCAAAGACAUGAAUGUGCACCUGCAUUACCUUUCUUAUAGAACACAAAGCACGGCGCCAAAAUUGCACAUUCAGAUUACCUCUUAGCACCCUAGCAAUUGUUCUCGUUGUCAUAAGUGAACCACGGAUCCCCAUUGCAAUUUCCUUAGCUAUCGAGGCAAGAUCUGGAUGAUGAUCAUAUGGGUUUGCACUACCAAAGGCAAGGACUCUAAAGAAGUACCAAUGCUCCUCUUCACGUAACCUUGUCAGCCUAAGAGCUUCCACUGUCCCUAAACUUGAUGCACAAUCCAUUCUGCUGAUGAGUAUGACCUUGCUGCUGUCGACUCCACGGCGCAAUGAAUGGUAAAGUUUACCCCAUGCCACCACAUCACUGUCAUGAACAAGCUCCACGACAAUCACGGAUCUCCCACCCGAAGGAUUAAACUUCUUACAUAUAUGAUUAUCCGUGUCAGUACCAUUAGCUAGAUCCAUGAGAUCAUCGCUGCUGAAGUGCAAGAUUUUUGAGAAGUUUCUUCGCACUAUCUCCUCUCUACAAGCAUGCUCAACUAGGGUAUUUUUUCCAACAUAAAUUGGUCCAAUAACAGGAAGGAUAUCCAAAGACGAACAAGGGCUUAAUAAGAAGUUGACAAUAAGCUCUUUUUCCGACUGUCGGCCGAACAUGCACCUCUCCAUGAACAAAUAUGUACUGUAUGGCUGACGAAUAAUCGGAGGGCAAUUCAUCAAAAGUAACAGAAACUCUUUCAUAUCAUUAAGCAUGGCUUCUAAAUUGCUCAUAAAUUGUACUUGGAGUUUGUAUUGGCUCACCUCUAACAGCCCAUUUGAUCGAGAGGGCCAAACGUCGGAGGUGUCCAACAUGUAGUAGCCACGGUACAGGGACUCUCUGAGCUGCUUAAGCUGCAAGAGCAUGCCAUGGUUGGUGAUUUGCCGCCCAUCGGCCUCCUCAACGACGAUGCUGGCUCGCAGGAGCAGCCGCUGCAGCCUUGAAAUCUUAUGGGUGGCAACCUGAUGAUGAGCCUGGUAGUUUUCAACGAUGAAGGAGAUGAACCGGCUGAUGAAGUCGCUGAUCACUGCAGAUAUCACUGUAUCCAUGAUCUCUGUGUGCCAGGGAGAAAUAAAAUGAUUAUUGUACAAAUCAUGAUACAGCUGCAUACAUAUAGUCAGGAUUGGAGGGACGCAAGCUGGAACUUGGCUACCAGACAUGGGGACAGGGUAGUUUUUUCCCCCUGAUUUUUCCACAAGUGUCCCUCUCGUUGACUAGUCUUCGAAGAAGAUGCCGUUGUGCGAAAAAGAGGGGUACUUCCGUCGUCAAACUUGACGAACUUAUGAUAUAACUUUUUUCUCCAUAAUUUUGAAGGGGUAGACUUUUCAUGCUUUUUACAGGAGUCCCUCUCGUUGACUGAUCUUCAAUAGGGCGCUCGCCAUGGGUGUUCCCAGCUAUAGAUUCCUGACAACUCGAACUUGUCUUUUUUUUAAAAAAAAAUUAUUUUUCACAGCUUUCCAUUUUUGAAAAAUGAUGAAAUUAUAUAUAUAACUUUUAUGCAUAAUUUUGAUUUCCAAACUUGUUACGAUAAAAAUUAUAUAUAUAAAUUAUGCAAAAGAAACGAAAAAUUAUAUAAAAAUUAUACAUAUAGUUAUAUGCAUGUAUAACUUUUAAAAAGAAUAAUUGUAUUUUUAUUUAAUCACGCUUGCACGUAGAAAGGUUGCAUAUGCAAAGAAGUAUACUUCAACCCUCUCUACAGGUUCCCUCAAACCUCAGAUAUGGAAGUAGAAGUCGGGUGCAAUCAUUUUUAUUUAAUCAUACCUAUCAAGAUUAAUACUAAUGAAUUGCAUGCAAGACUAAUUCAACUAAAAAUUUAAGAUAACAAGAAAAGAUGAGCAAUUUAUUUAUACCUCACUAUUAUCGCCUCUCAGCCUCCACGACGACGCGACCUCGGAGGAGCAAUCUGUUUGUAGCCUUGGUAUUUUGCUGUGGCAACCAGAACCUCGGAUUUUGCAGCGACGAAGGAGAUGAACCGGCUGAGGAGGUCACCCACCACUGUAGAUAGCAGAGUAUCCAUUGCAUACGCACGCUACAAAAGAGUGCGGUGGUUCUAAUUCAACAGUGCAGAUUUAUACAGAAUUGGGUUCAGGGGGAGAAAGCAGUCGGUGAGGGUGAGGCACAAGUUCGAAGCCAGACAGCUUGAGCGGUGUAGCCUGUUGCGCAAAGGCAAAGGGAGGCGACAUGAUUUUUGUUGUCUCCCUGAAAUUUUUCUUGCUCUGACCGGCGCACCGCCAAAGACGUUACGGCGCCGGUUAGUGGCCACCGGAGCUGCGCCGCUUCCAGCCACUCGAUUUGGCCGUCGUGACUUGUGAGUUGUGGCGGCGGAUCCCACAAGACCUGCUGAAGUUGUUUUACAGGAAGACCUGUAAGUAUUUAAUUUGAAUGGGAGAAAAUAGGAGUCAGCAGUCCAUUUUUGCGUAGUCUUUUCGCCUCUCGCUGAUGAACAGAUUCUACAGCGAUACGCCGAUGCCAACAGCGAGGCGUCAAAAAAGCAAAAGGAAAAGAAAAAAAUCGACGCUCACUUUCUGGGGGGGUCCUAUAUGCCUUCCACGAGAUGUAUAAGAGAUACAACUAUAAAAGCCCAGUAUAGCCCAGCAACGGCACAUAGGAUUACGCGUGCGCAAAUUAGAAAGCAGGCUGCCGAAUCGUUGCAUGCGUGUGCCUCCGUUCCUCAAGCAGGGAGACUCGACGAUAGGGCCAAUCAUGGAAAGAGACUCAUGCUUUAUCAUUUUUUUUUUGGUUUUAUACUUCGCUUUGUUUUUUUCCUACUAGAUCACUAUGAAACGGUAUAUUCAAAAAUUUUGUUAGGCUGAAUCAAUAUUUUUUAAAAAAACUAGUUCAACAUUUAGUGAAAAUUAAUUCAACAUUUUUCCAGAAUGUUGAAAUAGUAUAGCAUAAAUGUUGAAACGAUAUCUAAAGAAUGUUGAACAUUUUUUUAGAAAAUUUCUUUAGAAGGAAUCAAUAUUUUUUUAAAAAAGUUGAAAUAGUAUAGUAUAAAUGUUGAAACGAUAUAUAAAGAAUGUUAAACAUUUUGAGAAAACUAAUACAACAUUUUUUCAGAAAUGUUAAAAUAGUAGUAUAAAUGUUGAAUCGACAUAUAAAGAAUGUUCAACAUUUUGAGAAAACUAAUACAACAUUUUUUUAGAAAAAUUUGUUAGAGUGAAUCAACAUUUUUUAAAGAAGUUGGAAUAGUACAAUAUAAAUGUUGAAACGAUAUAUAAAAAUGUUGAAAUAUUAAAAUAAACAAUUAAAAUAGUAUAUUGGAUCUUGUUGCAUUAAUUCUAACAAACAUUAUGAUUCAAAUGGAUUUAAAAUCAAAUGUAAUGAGAGUGAAAUUUGUUUAGCCUCCCACCCACCUCCCAGGUCACGACACGUGUCCCUGAAAAGCUGGUGCUAUGUGUUGACCCGUGCUUGCUUCGCCUGUGUAGUGGACGCUCUUCGCAUGUGAGCUUUCUUCCGGUAUAAUCUCGACAGACUAGACUUUGCACACAUCUCAAACAGUGGAAGAUUAGUUGAUAAAAAUCUUCCAGAAGAUAGAUACGAAUCCCGUACUUGUUGCUAUUACUUCACAAUGAGGAGGACGUGGCUAGGGAUGGUAAAGGGUCAUCUAGUUUAGCCUAGCAAAUUUAAGUAUGGAAUUCAAUAAGGAUCAAACUAUAAUAUUAUACGAUUUUAAAUUAAAAAUAGAUGGAGCUAAGUUGGAUUGUGAAAAAGAAACAAGUGUCGUUAUCCGUUACCACCUUGGACGUGGCAUGUUCUUGUCAUGGGCCUCGGCAAGGUUGAAAAUGGCCGCGUUUACUGAUUUGUGCGGCGACCAGCCCCAAGUUGCCGAGGUUGUCCACCGGACCUUUUAAGCCCGGUGCUGCACCUCGUUGUUCCAAACUUUCGAAAACUUCAAACGGAUGAAUAGAGACUGCAAACCAAAGCUUUUUCUUUCUCCAGCUUGUCUGGGGCAUUAGAACGUUGUCAGGAGGGCUGCGGCCACGGACGCCGCCGUUGGCUCGGCCGCAAGGCCCUGGGGCGCCGCCCCAGCCAACGCAUGUUGCCGCGGGCUGCUCGCGGCUAGGUGGGGGUCCUGACUCCUGCGAUUCUAUUUGGCCAGUCGCCGCCGGCGGGGAAUGGGUGACCGUCGGCCCUAUGCGCGACAGCGGGAGGAGAACAGGCAGGCGGCAGGAGGGGAAUGAGCUGGAAAAGAAUUGGCGGCACCAGAACUGUCGUUUUUGGAUGGGCUGAAUUCUCUCUUUGGGGAGAGUUGAGCUAGGAUAUUGGGAUGAACCAAAAAAUAUUGGGAAAAGAGACAUGUUUUGAGAGACUGUUGGAGCUCUUUUCUUCCCAAUGCUGGUAAUUGUUUUUUUGGAAAAGGGAGACCGGUGUGGCUGCUUAGAUCUUAAAUAUAAUCUUUACCUUAUGUAUAUUGACAAGGCUGUUUGCAUACAUGUAUACUGUGGAGUUUCACCAGGAGGGGGGGGAUGGCCCCUCCAGGCACCCCUACCUCUGUCCCUGUAGGUCACCCACUGCCGCAGAUAUCACAAUGAUCAAUUGUAUAUGUACCACUAGCCCACUACAAAGAGCGCGGUGAUGAUUCAAAUUCAGCGGUGUGGUAUACGUACCAUUGAGAUUACAGAGAGGAGAUACGCCCUUAUACAUAAACGUAGAUGGGAUUAUAGAGGGCAGGAGCAGUAGCGCACAAAGAUCAAAGCCACACAGCUAUAGCGGUGUAGCCCAAAGGUAAAGGGAAGCGACUUGGCUUUUGUUGUAUUCCUGAAUUUUUCUUAAUGGAACCGACACACGGCCGAAGAAGACGGCGCCGGUGAACAGCCACGGGUGCUGCGCCUCUUCCAGCCACUCGAUUUGGCUGUUGAUGUCACGGCGGAUCCCCCUCGAAGACCUAAGUAAUUUGUUUAGAGGAAGGGCCAUUUUAAUUUGGAAGGAAGAAAUACAGGAACAAGAGGAAUUGCAUUCCACUUUUACGUAGUCUCUCUCAUCGCCGCUCAUUACCCGGUGGGCCGCGACCCGUUCGUGUCAUGGGCCUCUCUAGCCCGCGUUUACCGCUGAUUUGUGCGGCUACCAGCCCAGCUGCCGAGCUACCUUUUUGGCCCGGUGUUGCACCUCGUUCUUCCAAACAUCCUCGAUCAACAAACAAAUCCUAAUAGGAAUUUUUUUAAUAAUAACGAUAUAUAAAUCGAAACGGGUGCAUUAAUACGGUAAAGCAAGCUUAAUUUCUUGUUCUCCACCAGCUUAUCUAGAACGGCAAAAAAAAA